Long non-coding RNA from Paramormyrops kingsleyae, 538 nucleotides. RefSeq lists it as uncharacterized. Lineage: Eukaryota; Metazoa; Chordata; Actinopteri; Osteoglossiformes; Mormyridae. The record is from RefSeq and is a predicted model, not a curated record.
CUAAGGAACAGAAUCUAACACAAGGAAAACAAGAAGGACAGAUAAAAAACAACCAAUGGCACAAAACAAAAAACCAAAACAGAAUGCAAACCACAAAACUCAGGAACUAGAAAAACUAAUACGAAUGAAACAAGAUCUGAGUCCAGAACUACACUAAAGAUUUCUGGCUUGAUUUGUAGGUUUAAGGUGGAUUCAAGCAAGGGGGAUCAUGUGGAUAUUGAAUAGAAGAGGCCUAAGAAUUGACCCUUGAGGGGUGGGACAUACCAGCAACAGCCGAUCACCUCUGAUUGCAUCCGCUUCUUAAGCGGGUCACCAGCAACUUCCAUUGCGAAGUAUAGUUGCCAUGGUUAUGUGCCUUACUGAGCAUUUCUUUGUUCAUUGUCUUCCCUGUUAUCCUUGCCUCCUGCAUCCUGCCUGCCCUGCCUGCCUACCUACUCCCGCUUGCCCUACCUGCCUGCCUUCUCCUGCAAUCCCGACCCAUCUCCACUGCUCAUCCUCCCCUCUUGUUAUCUUGUCCUGUGCUUGCUCGUGGAACUGA